Molecule: ribosomal RNA, 375 nt
Filed under: uncultured bacterium
Lineage: Bacteria
Description: bacterial SSU rRNA
Rfam family: Bacterial small subunit ribosomal RNA
Source: RNAcentral
GACGAACGCUGGCGGCGUGCUUAACACAUGCAAGUCGAGCGGUAAGGCCCUUUCGGGGGUACACGAGCGGCGAACGGGUGAGUAACACGUGGGUGACCUGCCCUCAGCUCUGGGAUAAGCCCGGGAAACUGGGUCUAAUACUGGAUAUGACUCCAUGACGCAUGUUGUGGGGUGGAAAGCCUUGUGCGGCUGGGGAUGGGCCCGCGGCCUAUCAGCUUGUUGGUGGGGUGAUGGCCUACCAAGGCGACGACGGGUAGCCGGCCUGAGAGGGCGACCGGCCACACUGGGACUGAGACACGGCCCAGACUCCUACGGGAGGCAGCAGUGGGGAAUAUUGCACAAUGGGCGAAAGCCUGAUGCAGCGACGCCGCGUGA